RNAcentral lists this ribosomal RNA (771 nucleotides) under uncultured Neocallimastigales. RNAcentral's name for it is "partial large subunit ribosomal RNA". It matches the Rfam family "Eukaryotic large subunit ribosomal RNA", at positions 26 to 645 of the family's 3401-position model. The record is from RNAcentral. Lineage: Eukaryota; Fungi; Neocallimastigomycota; Neocallimastigomycetes; Neocallimastigales.
CGCAUCUGUGCAUGCAGCAUAUCAAUAAGCGGAGGAAAAGAAACUAACAAGGAUUCCCUCAGUAACGGCGAGUGAAGCGGGAAGAGCUCAAAUUUGAAAUCUUGAAAGGUCACCUUUCACGAAUUGUAGUUUAAAGAAGUGUUUUCUGUUACGAUCGUAAUAUAAGUUCUUUGGAAUAGGACAUCACAGAGGGUGAGAAUCCCGUCUAUGAUUGCGAUUUGUAGCUUUGUGAUACACUUUCAAAGAGUCGGGUUGUUUGGGAAUGCAGCCCAAAACGGGAGGUAAAUUUCUUCUAAGGCUAAAUAUUGGCGAGAGACCGAUAGCGAACAAGUACCGUGAGGGAAAGAUGAAAAGAACUUUGAAAAGAGAGUUAAAUAGUACGUGAAAUUGUCAAAAGGGAAGCGUUUAACACCAGUGUUGUUUUCUGAAAAUCAACCUCUGUUAGCUUUAUGCAUGUUUGUUUAGACCUAAUCAGCUAUCUUGCAUGUUCUAUUGUUUGCAGUGGUGCACUUUUCAGUUUACAGGUCAACAUCAGUUUUUUUUACCGUAAAAAAGUUAAAGAAAGGUAGCUCAUGGCUCCGGUCGUGAGUGUUAUAGUCUUUUUCCUAUGCGGUAGGAGAGACUGAGGUCUGCAGUGUAGGCUAUUUGGCUAGAUACUCAGGUGCUAUGUCGAUACCAUUUCAUAAACAACUUGUUGAUUAUGUUUUGUCUAUUGCAUACUCGCUUGUACUAUCAUACCUACGCUAGGAUGUUGAAGUCAUCGUAUCGCGC